AGAACGAACGCUGGCGGCAUGCCUAACACAUGCAAGUCGAACGAGACCUUCGGGUCUAGUGGCGCACGGGUGCGUAACGCGUGGGAAUCUGCCCUUAGGUACGGAAUAACAGUGAGAAAUUACUGCUAAUACCGUAUGACGUCUUCGGACCAAAGAUUUAUCGCCUAGGGAUGAGCCCGCGUUGGAUUAGCUAGUUGGUGGGGUAAAGGCCUACCAAGGCGACGAUCCAUAGCUGGUCUGAGAGGAUGAUCAGCCACACUGGGACUGAGACACGGCCCAGACUCCUACGGGAGGCAGCAGUGGGAAUAUUGGACAAUGGGCGAAAGCCUGAUCCAGCAAUGCCGCGUGAGUGAAGAAGGCCUUAGGGUUGUAAAGCUCUUUUACCCGGGAAGAUAAUGACUGUACCGGGAGAAUAAGCCCGGCUAACUCCGUGCCAGCAGCCGC
Molecule: ribosomal RNA, 444 nt
Filed under: uncultured bacterium
Lineage: Bacteria
Description: SSU rRNA
Rfam family: Bacterial small subunit ribosomal RNA
Source: RNAcentral